CCUCGUCAGGACCUGGCUCUGCCCUCGGAGUCAGUCUGGAUCCAGGAGUGAUUCAUCUUACACAGAUGAGAGGGGGGAUAAAAAGAAAAAGAACAGUCAGGACAAAUGUGUUUUCAAUGGUGCUUAGCAGCAGGGAGACCAUUGAGACUUCAGAGCAAUGCAACUGGAGUGUGACAUCAUAAUACGGUACGUACAUGCGGAGUGGGGCGAAGAGGACUUUGCACACACAUUCCUUCCCUCUCCCUUUUGGAUUGGAUGCCAUGUAUAUUCAUUUCUCUGCCAAGCAGAAUGCUGCAGUCUGCUCUCUUCAAGACCACUCACAAAUUAGCUCUGUUUCCCUGUUUUUAAAAAUCUUGCCACCAUUAAUGCUCAUCCCUGGGAGUCCCUCACAGGACAGUGGCAUGAAAGGGUGGGCUUGGCACCCUGGUGAUUUCCCUAAGAUCAACUCCAUAGAAUGUACGGAAAUAUAAUUGCCUCAAACAGACUCUCAGACACACAACAAUGGAUUUAUUGUUAAAAUCCCUUGGCAAUGUGCAGAGCAGAAACCAUCUUUUCAAGAAACCCAAAAUAUUCCAUUCCCAUUAGGUUUUUAAAUAUCUCGUAAGCUCAAUUUCUUUCCAGAACUAUGGGUCUGUGGAUCUUCUUAUAGAAACCCAUUACCAUGUGGCUGUUUAACAAAUCCGUGCCUGCUUAAAAUUAUAAAUGACAGCCUAUUUCAUAAAGAGAAAAGUCCUCUUUGACAGGAAAACAAUCUCGGUGGCUUCUCCUUGGAUAACAAAUGGGUUUGUGUCAGGCCCAGCACCAUGGCUGUUUCCAAAAUAGUGUAGCAAUGGACUGCCAUUUCUAUUUCAGGGGUCCAAAUUAAGGGGUUUGAAGAAAUGAGUGGCUACCUGUGAGUCUGAAUUAUUUCUACCUGGAGAAAAUUAUCAUGAUUUGCUAUGGAUCUACAUUCAUAACUUUAAAAACUGACCGUCUUCCUUAUUUUUUGCUCUAAAGAUUUCUUGUCAGAUACAGUGUCAGAGGUCACUGUCAGAGUGUCCCUUUGGUACCCAUUAACUAUACCAGCAAACUUGUUCACUAUUGAUCCACUAUGUCUAAGUAUCUAUUAUGGUGGAUAUAAAAGGUGGCUUCACAUCUUUCUAAACAGAUAAUUCAUAAAGGCCAAGGGGUCAUGGCUUGUGAUGUAUUAUUCUUUCACUGUAACUGUGACUGAAUGGAACGAGAGAGAGGGGAAAAGAAGGGGGUGCUAAGGGUCAUGGGUGUUAGACUAAAGAGGUAGAAACCUCUAUGUCAAUUGGACACAUUAACAUCCAUAUAAAUAAUAAAAGGCAUUAAUAAUAUUUGUUCAUGACCUCAUUAUCGAUUCAUUCUCUCAGAAGCAGAGGCUCCUAGAAUGAAUGAAGACAGAGUUGAUUUUUUUACUACCAAAGUUCAGUUGAGGUUGAACUCUAAAAUGGAAGUCAAUUGAAGACAGUAAAAUAUAGUCUGGCAGCCAUAUGUUGGGUCCUAGGAUUGAUAUAUCUUGCAGGUAGUGCAUCAUCUGGGGCAAAGCAAGAGUUUUGGGGAACAGAAGCCUCAAAUAUGAAGUGUGAGGAUCUGCUGGAUCCUGAUGGGCUCAGCACAUCCCCAUGUUCCUUUGGGAUUAUUUGAUUCAUCAUGUUCUGUAACCUCCGCUGGUUCAUAUUGAACAUUCAGCAAUACACCACAGAGGCCGUUACUGAUGUUCCCCACCUUCCCAUCCUAAAGUAAAGCAUCUCAUUAAGAGAACAGUAAGGAUCUAAUGAGUGAGCCUUGUUCACAAGUUAGCUGACUUUGGGCUCAUUUAAUUCCGUUUAUGGUCCUUCACCCACUGGAGAACCCAGAGAUGGUGCACUUUCUUUUUUUUUUUUUUUUUUUCAACGUUUAUUUAUUUUUGGGACAGAGAGAGACAGAGCAUGAACGGGGGAGGGGCAGAGAGAGAGGGAGACACAGAAUCGGAAACAGGCUCCAGGCUCUGAGCCAUCAGCCCAGAGCCCGACGCGGGGCUCGAACUCACGGACCGCGAGAUCGUGACCUGGCUGAAGUCGGACGCUUAACCGACUGCGCCACCCAGGCGCCCCAUGGUGCACUUUCUUAAGACUACAGUUUGGAGGAAAGUAAAUUGAGAUGAAUCAUGGUGAGAUGAGAUAGUUAAAAUGUCAUGCUCCAUAAGUUUGAAUGCAUCCUUCAAGUUCUGAACAGUAAAAUGCAACUGAACACUGAAACAAGGGAAACAAAGAAAAAGCAGGUAACUAACAAUACAAAUCCUCCUUCUUUGACAAGGACACUUCAUGGGGGAAACCAAACAGCACCUUUUCAGAGCCAUUCCUGAGCACACACCUGGGAGCACAAAGGCACACAUCCAUAAUCCCUCCUGAUUUUACUUUCCUUUUACUAUUUUACCCAUUAGGGCUCAGGGGAUGGCACAUCAAAAUUUUAAGGUUUCAAAGACAGAUAAUAAACUACUAGCUUUAUUUCUAUUUAUAAAUGCUAGUUGAGGGAAAGUAGCUACACUGGCUGGACAAAUUCCAAAUUGGCCCUGGUAAAUGUGGAACCUGGUGGUGAUGUGUUUCCAGAGUCAGAAUAGGCCCUUUUGGCUGAAGAAGAGGGUUGAAGAAAGGGUUGGGGUGUGCAUGGGCAGAACUGGGAGCUGCAGAAUUGCUUUGCCAGUUUCUCCUUACAGAGCCCCAUUUAUUUCAAGUAUCUACCAACUCUAUAACUCUUUAAGUUAAAACAUCCUAAGAGAAACCCAAGAAUGACCUAUUUCCUGGAAGUUAAUAGUCUGACCCUGGGAAUUGCUUUUCUUCUUUAUGUGAAACCCCAGUUAUUGGGACAACCAAGGUCUUGAGGGAAUUUCCCUCCAAUAUCUGUAGUUCUUAACCUUUUUAUGGAUCAAGAACCCUUUUGAGAGUAUAACAAAAGCUAUGAUCUGUCUCUUGAGAAAAAUGUUCACACAUACAAAAUUUUGCAUACAUUUUAGGGAUUCAUAGCAUCCCUGAAGUUGGUGUAGGUUAAGAGUCCUAUUCUAAAUAGGGUUGUUUUCUUUAACAGAUGAGCAUUCAUACAGUCUGCCCUUCUUCAAUUCAAUAAAGAAAAAGUGAAGCUUAGCGAUAAGCCAGCCAUGGUAACCUUCAGACUCCAAAUAAUACUGUCCUUAAUAAUAAUAAUAUUCAAGUGUCAUGUUAGUAGUCUCUAUGGACAUCUCUAUUCUUCAUAAUAAUUUUUAUUUUUAUUUAAUGUUUGGAGAUGUUGUAAAAAGUGACUACUGUUUCAAAAUGUGACCUCUGUGAGGUUUAAAACCUACUGAAUCAGAUGAGAUAUGAAAGUAUUCAAUAUAAUAUAUGACUUAAAGCUAUGUUUUUUAAACUUUAAUAGGAAAUGUCUGACUCUUAGAUCACUGUUUCUAAAGUCUGGCAGACAGAAACAUGUCUUUUAAAAAGAUCUAAUUUAUACACCAAACAGAGAUCCAGCAGGUAGAAAUAAUGCCUUUCCCUUUUACCUCCUACAAACCUGAACCUUUAAUUUGCUUUGAAUAAAACUCAAUGCCAGCAACAUUUUAACAAUUAUAAUUCAUCUCUUUUUUUUUUUCAAAGACUUUUCAGAUAUUGUGCUAGACAGUGUGACACUGAGAUAAACAAAUCAUGGUCUUUAUCCUCAGAAAGCUCAUAGUCUUAGAACAGAUAUAUGUACACAGCCCAGCAGCCACUGAAGUGGCUUAGCAUCCAUUCCUAUCUUCCUCCCUCUUGGCAGAACUCCAUUUUUAUUCAGGUACCCACUCCUCCUCUACAUAAGCCAUAUGAUUUAGGGGAAACUGACCCAUACUGGGCUAAAUCAAUCAUGGGGAUCCUACACAAACUCUUGUUGAUGAUUGAUUCAGGUAUCCUGACUUCAGCAAUUAUCAUUGCUCAUUCCCUUGGUGAUGGCAGUUGGUUUGGGGAUGGACAUGGGACCUAAAUUGGCCUCAUUCUACCAAAAGGAAGAUCAACUAGGGGGAAAGUUGUCUCUUCUCUAGCUGUAUUGUCUCAAUUGGUAUUAGCAACUAUCUUGCUACCUUGGGGAAGUUAGCCUGAGGCUAAAGCUAAGACAUCUAGGAGGGCAGAUCUGAGAAAAUUAUAGAGAAUUGAAGUGGAAAACUACAUUGAAUGGUUUGAAACACACUAUACCUCAAAAUGGCUUUUAUGUAAGAUCGAUUUACUAUCUCCUUUUUGUUUAUUCUUAUUUGAGUAGGGAUUUAUGUCCAAUGCAACACCGAAACAUCCUGUCGCCCAUAUCAUUCUAGACAAGAGUGAUAGUGUCUCCCUGGUACGCUAAAGGACUCAUCAGAGGCACACAAAAGGAUGGACAUAAUCAUCCUGUGGGAACUUGCCAGAGGAAAGGAUGCUUGAGCUGAGUCUGAUGGUUGAAAAGGAGUUAGCUGAGCAAAUAUGGAAGGGAAAGGGAUUCUAAAGAGAAGAACAAGUGGACAGAAGUGUGUUGGUACCCUCAACGAUGUUGAGAGAGUUGUAUACCUAGAGUGAGAAGAGAUGGGAGACGUUCUGGCAGAUGAGAUGGAAGAGGCAGGCAAGGGCCAGAUCAUGAAGGGUCUUGCCAUGUGAAUGCGGAUUUUCUAUUAAGGUAAUUUGGAGCCACUGAAGGAUGUUAAGCACUGAAUGUUAAGCAUUUUGUAUUUUAUUUUAUUUUAAUUUCAGAGAGAGAGCAUGAGCAGGGAAGAGGGGCAGAGGGAGAGAAAGAGAGAAACUCAAGCAGUUGAUGUGGGGCUCAAUCCCACAACCCUGGGAUCAUGACCUGAACCAAAGAGUGAGACACUCAACCAACUGAGCCACCCAGGUGCCCCUCCAUUUUGUAUUUUAGAUAAUUGAUGGUGGCCAGUGUGAAAAGUGAAUUGGAGAGGACUGUUCUAGGGAUAGGAGAUCAGUUCAAGAGUCUACAUUUUGCUGAAAGACAUCCUUUGCCUCUCAGGCAUCCUCUCCUGAUAGGAGGCAACACGGGUCCUUUCUGGAGGUACAGAGCAAGUAUUUGUGAAGACUGGUACAGAGCCAUCACUAUUAAUCAAAAUCCAUAACAGGAUCCAUGUCAGCAAACAUUUGCUGAGUACUCAGAACUAGGAACAUUGUACAGGACCAUGGGAAGAGUUCUUUACUUGCUGUGUGACCUGAAGCUAGCUGCUUAACCUCUCUGAGAUUCCAUUUCCUUUUCUAUAAAAUGAGGCUUCUGUAGCUACCUUGCAUUGUCUAGGUGAGUUAAAUAACACUUAAAAGCAUUUAGCACUGGGCCUACCAAAUCACAGGGACGAGAUUAAUGCCUCACUGGCAUUAAUGAUGCCAUCUGAGUGACUGGAUGACAUGAAUGAUAGUUUGCCCUAUUUAUACUACAUAUGUGGUUCUAGAUUUGAAAAUGGCAGGCCCCAUACUUUACCACCAGAUGAACAAGGUAUCCUCACUGUCUUCUGAGGUAAGGUUAAUUCUUAUGAAAUUUUUAAAAACGAGGGCAGAUCUGCCCACAGGGAUUGCAGAAGCUUCUGCUCAGUCAUUAAUUAAAACAACAUGCUUCAGAGCCCUGCAGGUAUGUAACUCUCCAUUCUUGGGGCUCGAAAGGAAGUGACGCUGUAAAUUGCUUUGGAAUGAACUGAUAUGGGGUUUUCCAUAUGACACCCACAAAGGGCUACAGACACUAGGUUUUGGCCCAAGUGUGAAGGACAGGGACCAGCUGGUUUGUACAACCUACAAACAGGACAACUAAGAAAGGUGCUUGCCUGUGUUCCUUUCCAUGAGCUGGAUCUUUGGGUCCCCCAAGUUGACCAUGCGUAUUCAGGGGUGGAAGGGCAGAAGGAAAGUCUGGGGUCAGGCAGUGGGGAUCUGAUGCCAACCUGCAGAUGCUUUCACUUCAUCAGAAUUCUUGGGAGAUACAACAUGCAGUGGUUUAUAUCUUUGCCAUCACAGGCAUCUGAGUUUAAGUUUUGAUUUGCUCACUCAUUAGCUGUGUAACCUUGGGCAAGUGACCUAACUUCUCUGAGCUGUAAUUUUUUUCAUUUGUAAGAAUGGACUAUGCCUACCCCAAUCUUAUAAAGUGGGAGUAUGCCUACUCCUAGAGGUGUUGUGAGAAUUAAAUAAAAUGCAUAUGAAAAACAUGUACUCAGCAUAAUAUGUGACAGUAUGGUUAAUAAACGUAAGUUAUGAUGAUGAUUAUUAUUUAGAGUGGGCACCUGUAAUUUUGGGUCUGUCCAUCAAAUAGUUGCCCUUCUUAUUAGCACUUUCCUUUUGGGGAAUUACCUUUCCUGAAUUAGGUGUAGUCUUGGUGCCCUCUAGUGUGCUCACUGCCCACUUUAGAAGCUGAAGGGGUCCCUAGAGGCUCUGCCCAUAAGAUCUUUCCUUUCAUCAUCUGGUACAGCCAUGAAGUGAGCAUGUGACCGAGCUCAGCCAGUCAGAAUCUUUCUCCUGGGACUUUGAAUCAGGCAUAGAAUGAAGAAAGGAUAGAAGAAACUGUAGGGUGGUGCCUGAAGAAGACAGCAUUCCUUUCUCUCCUGUUGGUGUCUUAUAAAAUUUCUUUCUUGCUUAGGUAGCCAAUGUCCAUUUCUGUUACUUGCAAGCAAAGAAAUGAAACAUUACUUUUUGCCUUUAGGAACAAGUGUUUCCCUUCACUGCUUGCCUCUCUUCCUCUCUUUUUCACCCCAGUGUCCUACAGAAGAUGUUCCCAAACACAGCCUAUCUGUAUAGUUUCAUGCAUGUCUUCAAGAUAUUCUUUCUGCUUAGAUGCCCAUAUUCAACCCUCAUGCUCCAACAGGCAAAUUCAAGCCCUGGCUCAAAUGUUGCUUGCUUUGGGAAGCCUUCAACAACUGCCUUGACCCAGCAGUAUGAAAAUAUUUAAGUUCCUCCACCUUUUCCAUGCUUGUCUUGAAACCGUUAUGUACUUGCCUUGUUGUAUUAGGCUGUGUGCUGCCAUCUAGAUCCUAUUCUCUCUGGGAAUGGGGGCCAGACCUUAGUCUUGUUCCGUUUUGUGUCUCUAGUACCUGCCUGUUGAAUGAGUGAUAUUGCUCACAAAUAGAUGAAUUGCACAAUUUUGUGGGCAAGCAUUUAUAUUUGGGGUAUGUCCAGAUAACUUCAGAACAGUAGGCCAAUUCCACAGGCCAUCCAGCUCUCCCAGUAUGGUGUACAAAUGCAUCCUUGUCCCAGUUAUCCAUACUGACAAUCUGGAUUGAGCCAAAAUGUUUAAGAUCAUUGUCCCAACCCCUACUUUGAGAGGAACAACAGGAACUAAGUCUUGUAUGGCUCUGAUCACACACCAUGCACCCAACAAAUACUAACUCAUUUGAUCCUAGUAAUACCCCUAUGAAGUAGAUGCUGCUAUUUCCCCCCAUGCCACAGAUGAGGAAACAGAGGCACAGGGAGGUCAAGUCUAACAAGAGAAGAGCUAAGUUUCCUACCUAGGCUGUGCUCUUCCAUAUGACACUGGUUCCUCUGGAGUCCCUGAGGAAUGAGCAGACUCAGCUCAUUCUGUCAGCAGUCAUCUGUUUCACGAGUUGGGGGUUAGAAACAGAACAGAGGUGGCCAUCUGAAUCCAGAAUCUGUGACAUGGACAUCUGUCCACUUUGUAAGAAGCACUGAUAGUGGGUGAAGAGCACAGACACAGAGGAGCCACAUUUUUAGCUAAGCUCCGGUUGGGUAGUGAUGAGGAGGGAGGGAAAUCCUUCUGUGAUAUUUGAAAAUACUGAGAUAGCCAGAGGUACACCUUGUGCCAGGAAGAGUCACACUAUUAGCCUUGGCUAAAUUUACCAAGCAGGGGUUGACAGGCAGUGAAGGUACUCAUUCAAUGCUCAGGUUUUUACGUCAAAGAGUCCUCAAUGUGAGGCCUGGCUCUGCUGUUCGCUACAGUAUGUGUGACCUCGGACAAAUUACUUAACUACCAUGUGGCUCAGUGUCCUCAUCUGUAAAAUGGGGCAUGAUAAAAGUCUCAGAGGAUAGUAUAGUUAUGUAAACUAACUAUUACAUGGAAAUUACUUAGUAUAUCUGGCAUCUGCUCCAUGGUUACAUACAUAAAUUUAGUACAAAAUCCCUGCUAGUUACGGGAGAUUUAGUGAGCAGCAGCACUUGGGGUCUUUAGUGGUCAAUGGGAAGGAAAGGAGCAAGGGUAAGGAGAGAGUUGCUCCUCCUCCACUUUACCAGGGAGAGCUCAACCCUUAAGAAUUCACACUGCUUUCUCUGUAUGGCUUAUUUCACUUAGCAUUACACUCUCCAGUUCCAUCCACGUUGCUACAAAAGGCCAUAUUUCAUUUUUUCUCAUUGCCACAUAGUAUUCCAUUGUGUAUAUAUACCACAAUUUCUUUAUCCAUUCAUCAGUUGAUGGACAUUUAGGCUCUUUCCAUAAUUUGGCUAUUGUUGAGAGUGCUGCUAUGAACAUUGGGGUACAAGUGCCCCUAUGCAUCAGUACUCCUGUAUCCCUUGGAUAAAUUCCUAGCAGUGCUAUUGCUGGGUCAUAGGGUAGGUCUAUUUUUAAUUUUCUGAGGAACCUCCACACUGCUUUCCAGAGCGGCUGCACCAAUUUGCAUUCCCACCAACAGUGCAAGAGGGUUCCCGUUUCUCCACAUCCUCUCUAGCAUCUAUAGUCUCCUGAUUCGUUCAUUUUGGCCACUCUGACUGGCGUGAGGUGAUACCUGAGUGUGGUUUUGAUUUGUAUUUCCCUGAUAAGGAGCGACGCUGAACAUCUUUUCAUGUGCCUGUUGGCCAUCUGGAUGUCUUCUUUAGAGAAGUGUCUAUUCAUGUUUUCUGCCCAUUUCUUCACUGGGUUAUUUGUUUUUCGGGUGUGGAGUUUGGUGAGCUCUUUAUAGAUUUUAGAUACUAGCCCUUUGUCCGAUAUGUCAUUUGCAAAUAUCUUUUCCCAUUCCGUUGGUUGCCUUUUAGUUUUGUUGGUUGUUUCCUUUGCUGUGCAGAAGCUUUUUAUCUUCAUAAGGUCCCAGUAAUUCACUUUUGCUUUUAAUUCCCUUGCCUUUGGGGAUGUGUCGAGUAAGAGAUUGCUACGGCUGAGGUCAGAGAGGUCUUUUCCUGCUUUCUCCUCUAAGGUUUUGAUGGUUUCCUGUCUCACAUUUAGGUCCUUUAUCCAUUUUGAGUUUAUUUUUGUAAAUGGUGUGAGAAAGUGGUCUAGUUUCAACCUUCUGCAUGUUGCUGUCCAGUUCUCCCAGCACCAUUUGUUAAAGAGGCUGUCUUUUUUCCAUUGGAUGUUCUUUCCUGCUUUGUCAAAGAUGAGUUGGCCAUACGUUUGUGGGUCUAGUUCUGGGGUUUCUAUUCUAUUCCAUUGGUCUGUGUGUCUGUUUUUGUGCCAAUACCAUGCUGUCUUGAUGAUGACAGCUUUGUAGUAGAGGCUAAAGUCUGGGAUUGUGAUGCCUCCUGCUUUGGUCUUCUUCUUCAAAAUUCCUUUGGCUAUUCGGGGCCUUUUGUGGUUCCAUAUGAAUUUUAGGAUUGCUUGUUCUAAUUUCGAGAAGAAUGCUGGUGCAAUUUUGAUUGGGAUUGCAUUGAAUGUGUAGAUAGCUUUGGGUAGUAUUGACAUUUUGACAAUAUUUAUUUUUCCAAUCCAUGAGCAGGGAAUGUCUUUCCAUUUCUUUAANAAAAAAAAAAAAAAAAAGAAUUCACACUGCUGGGGCGCCUCAGCAGCUCAGUUGGUGAAGCGUCCGACUCUUGAUUUCAGCUCAGGUCAUGUUCUCACAGUUCAUGGGUUCGAGCCCCGUGCUGGGCUCUGCACUGACAGUGCAGACCCUGCUUGGGAUUCUGUCUCCCUUUCUCUCUGCCCCUCCCCAACUUGCUCUCUGUCUCUCAAAAUAAAUAAAAAUAAACUUAAAAAAAAUCUUUCCUUUAAAAAAAGUAAUUAACACUGUCACCUGAAGUCUGGCAAGCCAGCCACUUCUCUGCAGAAGUCCACUCGGUUUAUAAACCCAAGACAGGGUGUGUGGUUUUCACACCCAGUUAUCAGGGCUCAUGACUCUGCAGAAUUAAUCUGUGUGAACAAACCCAGUGUCUUUUUACUACUCUUCCCCUUUCGAAUUUCUAAUUAAAAAAACAAAAACAAAAUCAAAAACAACCCUUCAACGAUGAGCUUGGUCAAAAAGGCUUAUUUUACUACUAGUGCCUUUUUUCAAAGAGCUACUGUUAUUUGUCAUAAAUCCUGAGCAUUCUGUUGGCUGUGACAGCCAGUGCUUGGGUGAAGUUAGCAAGAGCCUCGUUUCAAGGAGAAGUUGAGGUGUGAUUUGCCCACAGUCCAUCAGAGUGUAUGUGCCCUUGGCCCUAGGAUUCGGGGAGGAAGGGCUCCAACCCACCCAAUCCAUUUAAAGCUUCCAAUUUUGCAGAUUCUGUAUUCAGAUACUUAAAUCCCUCAAAUGCCUACCACAGGAACCACACUUCAUCACAAAGCUCUCCAUUAGCUGCAGACCAAGCAAAUAUACACAAAUAAAUUACAUUUGUAUAAUAUAAGAAAUAUAUUAUCUUAAUGCAUCUGUCUCAACUUUUAAUAACCACAGUUUAUUUCCAUGGCUCACAAAUUAGACCCAAUUCCCUGAGACAUCUUCCGGUGUAAACAUAUGAAGGUGUUAUUGAACUCCAGGAGUCUAAAGCACACUUAAAACAUGUUAAUAGGGGCGCCUGGGUGGCUCAGUCGGUUAAGCGUCCGACUUCAGCUCAGGUCACGAUCUCACGGCCCGUGAGUUCGAGUCCCGCGUCCAGCUCUGGGCUUAUGGCUCAGAGCCUGGAGCCUGCUUCCGAUUCUGUGUCUCCCUCUCUCUCUGCCCCUCCCCCGUUCAUGCUCUGUCUCUCUCUGUCUCAAAAAUAAAAAAUAAAAACGUUAAGAAAGGUUUUAAAAAAAACAACAUGUUAAUAAACCCUCUCCAUGUAGGAUUUUAUAGGAUGAAAAUAAAUCUGUUGCUGUGUCCCCUUUCUGUUCUAUUAGUGCUGAACAUUGAGACAUGUGACUGAUACACUAAAUAACGUUCUCAAAAGGCAAAUCCCACAACCUGGAGACCUCUUGGGAUUGUGUUAAGUGUUGUCACUCCACGGUUGGCAUCAGUAUGAACUCCCACCACUAGAAUAUGGAACAAUUUAUAACAUAACAAUUAAAAGAAAUAUUGACUUAAACAUGCACUCAGCAGGGGGCUGGUGACCCCAGGAACCAGCAGAAGGAAGAGUAUCGUGCCAUGUACAGUGUCCCGAAGGGUUCUGAGCAAUUCAAAUGACUGAAGAGCACGAUGUAUCUCGAGAGGUACACUCUUCUCCUCUUUAUGUUACCUGAGGUUGAAGUUAAAAAUGACACUUUCUCUUCCACCCAGCUUUUGCACUACACUGAAGGAUUGAGCUGUAUAAAAAUGCAGUCUCUAAAAUGCAAGGACUCAGUGCUUGCCAGUUUCACAAUUUUGCAGAUUCUAAUUAGGAAACUGUUUCACGGAUCCUUCUCCUGAUGCUGCAAGGGAGACUAGGAACGUUACAAAGCUGCAUUUAGUGUUGCCUGAAUGAUUGUAAAACUCCCUACCCACCACCCCCCACCAACCCCAAAAAACCAUCAGCUUAUAUCCCAACCCCCAUCUCAGUUCUCCUAUACUUUCAUCUUGUUCCUAGGAUCCACUAAAGUAAAUAAGAUGUCCACUCAGAUAAUGGAAACCCCACCAGCUCUCAGUUAGUGCCUUUUCAUGCCAAUUAAACACAUUUUAUACAGUCAUCGUAGAUGCAUCAAUGACUGCAUUCGGAGACGCCAGUAGGGCUCGGCUGAUAUCAGCCGAGCAAAUGAAAUGUAUUUCAUGUGAGUUUUCUUUCUGUCUUAUUCUAACCACUUGGCAACGGUCUCAAUUGAAAACAUUGAUUCUGAAAGAUAUAUAUGGAUAUAUAAACUGAUUAACCAGCUUAUUUGCUGCUGAUUACUUUACUAAUCAAGAUCUCAGAGUGCUUAAUUUAAAUUAAUACUUCCUUCAUUAAUGAAAAUCCAGCUUAGAGCAUAAAAAAAUCUUGACAGAUGCAUUUAUUGCAUAAACAUACAUUUAUCUACACCAAGGCAAUUGAACAUACAAUCAUAUUUGGUUGAGGUUAUAAUUGAUAAUGAUUCUAUAAUUAUUACUUCAGUUAGGUGAGUGUUGUUUGCCAGUUACUCUGACAUUCUAAUAGGGUUUUCUCCUUUUGGAGGCUUUGAGGAGCCUGUGGGACAUACAGGGAUGUAUGCAAAACAAACUCAGAACAUUGGGUUACUUUUGAGAUAAGGAGCAAGAUAUUCUUGCUUCUCUUUCCCCAGCGCUACACACACACACGCACACACACACACACACACAAAGGAAGGCAGGCUGACUUCCUAGUGUAGUAAAAAUAGAAAAGGGGACAAAAGGUGUCCAAUGUGAAGACCCAGGGAUUAAGCAAUAUUGGGCUAUUGAUUAACUAGUGUAUUGGUCACCUGAUAUUUGUGGCAGCCAAAUACCAGGGUCUCCCCCUUCUUGGAGUUUAUGGGCCAAGAUGUGUGAGCAGGUUGUGCUGCGGGUAGACUCGCAGUCAGCCAGCCAGCCCACAGUGACAGCGACCAGGCGUCUAGAAGCCCCACUGGGUUGUGAAAUGAACAAGGCCCUCUGUGCCCCUGAUCAGGCCUGUGUGAGCCCCCGGGCUCCAGGAGCGAGCAUCUCCUAGCUCCUAAAGAGCUGACAUAUAUCCUGCCUUUAAGACAAGACUACAAUUGCAAAUCCGAGAAUAUAAAUUACUCUUUCAUCUUU
RNAcentral lists this long non-coding RNA (12736 nucleotides) under Lynx pardinus (Iberian lynx). Lineage: Eukaryota; Metazoa; Chordata; Mammalia; Carnivora; Felidae. The record is from RNAcentral.